UACGGAGGUGGCAAGCGUUACUCGGAAUCAUUGGGUGUAAAGGGCAGGUAGGCGGCCUGUUAAGUGAGGGGUGAAAUCCCACGGCUCAAUCGUGGAACAGCCUUUCAUACUGGCAGGCUUGAGUGUGGUAGAGGGAAACGGAAUUAGCAGUGUAAGGGUGAAAUCUGUAGAUAUUGCUAAGAACACCAGCGGCGAAGGCGGUUUCCUGGACCACAACUGACGCUGAUCUGCGAAAGCUAGGGGAGCAAAC
This 250-nucleotide ribosomal RNA is filed under the name uncultured bacterium. Its description in RNAcentral is "partial 16S ribosomal RNA". It matches the Rfam family "Bacterial small subunit ribosomal RNA", at positions 524 to 773 of the family's 1533-position model. The record is from RNAcentral.